ACCUGGCGCCUCCUCAAACUUCUUCCUGUAGUCACUCAGCCCUUCGGCGGGAGUUUCUGGAGGGUUCUGGCGCAACACCUCCCUCUUCUGACCGUGAAGAUUACGGCAGCUCUGGCCUGAGAUUCUGGGACUCCCUGUUCUAGUGCAUAUCUGCUAACUUGCUGUGUGCUCCAGGGCACAGUCAGUGGGCCUCUCUGGGCCUCAGUUUCCCCUUCCGUAAAAUGAAGGAGUUGUGUUCACAGGCCAGCACUGUUGUCACAGGGAUUGCAGUCCUCAUUCUCACUGGAGUCUCACUGUAUUUGUUGUCUUGACCUGGACCUGGAACAGCGCGGGUUGUGGGCGUGUGUGCGUGUGGGGGCGGGAGCGUCAGGAGUUGCCGUGAACGCUCGUAAAGCUGACGAACGUGGAGGGACAGUGUUAGGAAACCAGCGGACCGUGUGCCGUUCACACUUCGUCAGCCAGAGGCAAUGAGUCAUUUUCAGGAAGAUGUUCGCUUUAAUCAUCGCUCAGGGAAACAGAGUGUGCUGAGGGGGCGUGUCCUGAUACCCGUCGGGUGAUGUGUCCUCAUUGGUGGGGGUGUGUUUAUGGGCUUAGUGGAAGCAGUCAGGCAUCAUUUUCUGAAACGGGCUUGGAUGUUAAGUGCCUUUAAGGAGCCCGUUUUGAAAGGAUCUGUGUGGCGAGUCCUGUGGAGUCGACACCGCUAUGACCGCAGGUGGAAGGGCCUCAGGUUAAUGCUCCCAGGCGGCCCGCCCGAGACCCAAGACGUUAGCUUCCUGCCCUACCCUCCCUCUCCGCAGCUCCCCAUCACCGGCUCCCGCCUGUGCCUCUACGAAGACGGCACCGAGCUCACCGGAGACUACUUCUCGAGUGUCCCUGACAACUCGGAACUCGUGCUUCUCACCUCAGGCCAGACCUGGCAAGGCUAUGUGAGUGACAUCCAUCACUUCCUCCACGCGUUCCACAAGCCGCAGGCGGGGCUCAUCCAGGCUGCCCGGCAGCUGCUGUCCGGGGAGCAGGCCCCGCUGCGGCAGAAGCUGCUGGCCGACCUCCUGCACACCGUCAGCGAGAACACCGAGGCCGAGACCAGGGCCGAGGACCCGCCGUGGUUCGAAGGUCUGGAGUCUCGAUUCAAGAAUAAGUCUGGCUACCUGAGGUACAGCUGCGAGAGCCGUAUCCGGAGCUACCUGAGAGAGGUGAGCGCUUCUGCCUCCACGGUGGGCGCGGAGGCUCAGGAGGAGUACGUCCGGAUUGUUGGCCUCAUGUGCCGGAAGCUCAGGGCGGAGCAGUACCACAGCAGCUACUUCGACAGAGGAGCCGAGGCGGACAGCCGGCUCUGCACACCCGAAGGCUGGUUCUCCUGCCAGGGUCCCUUUGACGUGGACAGCUGUGCAUCCAAACACUCCAUCAACCCCUACGGUAACAGGGAGAGCCGGAUCCUCUUUAGUACGUGGAACCUGGACCACAUACUCUAUUCUGGAACAUAGUGAUGUCCUUGUCUCUGCUUUGUGAAGACAGAGGUCUUCCAGUGCCCUUCAAGUGGCUCUAUCACUUUGGGGACAGGUGGCUUUGCACAUAUGUAGGACAUCACAGGGACAGCUGAGGCUCACUUUCCACCCCUCCUGGAUGCACCCCUGUCCUCGCCGGGGAACCUCGCCUUGCUGCCAUUUGCAAGCAUCCCUGUGAUGCCUGUUUAUAUAGACCUUUACCCUGUAGGUAGGAUUUGAAAAUGGACGUAAGUGGUAGCACGUGUUGUGACUCUACACCGGGCUUUUGCGUCCUAUGUCGUGCUCACGGGGAUGCGUUUGUGGGUUUCGUGCACUCAUUUCACCAGGUGCAGAGUGCCUCGCUCUUUCAAGAGAGUAUCGUUUGAAUAUCCGUUUCCAUCCCGGUAGGCGCUUCUGGCCGUCCACCUUCCGCUAUUACAGAGCCCCCUGGGCUGAGCGCGCACGCGGGACCGACCUGCGUGGCCAUGUGGGUGUGGCCCGUGGACCGGCAGCGUCCUCAGCAUGUGGGGACUGGUCAGGAAUGCAGAUUCUCGGGCUCCGCGCACCGUUACCCGGGUGCUGGGGAUUGGGGUGCACGUUCAGGUGAGGAGGCUGUCCUGGUGCCCGAGCUGAGGAGCUGCGCUCCCCUCUAGGCAGGGUGCUGGGUCUCACCCCUUCGAUGUGCACGGAGCACCCAGAGACGAUUGCCGGGUUCUCCAGGUCAUCUGUCGGCUACUUUCCGUGCCCCGCUGGGGCGUGGGGACAUCGAUCUGGGGGCGGUCCCAGCACUCAAGGGGCGGAGCAGGCCAGCCUGGAGCAGAGUGCAGACGAAGCAGCAGAGGCCGGAGCAGGGUUGUCUGACACCCUGGUUUCAGGCUCGUUUCUCCCAGGAGGGUCCUGUGGGCACUAAAUGUUCUUUGGUCUUGGAAAAUGUCCCUCUGGCCUCUACUCCUGCGUGGUCAUUUAGCGAUACUGAAUUCUGGGCGGUGGGUGUCCCACCUUCAGAACUUUGAAGACGUGCUCACACUCCCGGCGUCUGCUCGGGAGAAUUCUGCUCACAGCCUGUUCUUUGCCGUUUCUGCGGACAUUUCAGAUUUUCCGUUUCUCUUUGAACAUGGCAUGUGUGUGGGUUUAGAUCCUUAAAUUCUGACCGGGGCUUGUCUUUGUUCUGAAGACAAGUUUCUCUUUCGUUUUGGAAAACACCUAAGUAUUUUUUAGUUACCCCUUCUCGGCUUCUCUCUGUCCGGCUUCUCUGGAGCUUCCGCUGGCCGCACGUUGGACCUUCUCGUCCUGUCUCCCUUGUGCUGUGGGGGUGGUGUCGGGGAGCCCUCCGAGGCCUCUCAGCGGUCUGUUUCAGAGUGCUCUAGCCCAGGUCCUCCGCCGGGGGUCCUCGCCCUUUGCGGUGUGCUCCUUGUGACAUCUGUGCGUCUGGAUUCAGAGUCCACCCUCGGUGGGGACUGUGUUUUCUGUGCACUGGCUUGUCGUGUCCCCACAGGGUGGUUUUGCGUUUCUGCCAGACACUCACGGAAAGCCAGGGCUUCCCGUGGCUCUGAAACAGCGGAGUAUUAAUUUCUGGCUUGGGUCCCGUCCCCUGUGGCAGGUGCAGUCGGACUGUGGGUCUGUGUGAACGGUGAGCCGAGGGUCCUGGGUUUCCUGGUGACUGUGGAAACGGUCACACUGUUGGUGCGCCCGAAUCAUGCCUCCUGGGGCCUCUACCUUGUGUGUCGUCCUCACCCCUCCCGUUGCUGACUGAGGCUCGGCCAUGUGGCUCCAGCACACAGGACGCCAGCGGACGCCUGAUACGUGCUUGUGCGCUGGGGCUCCUUCUCUUUGAGCGCUGGCGUCAGUGGGGAGGGCCCUGGCCUGGCCUCCUUGAGGGUGAAAGAUGCCAUGGGGAGCAAGGCCGCCCCCAGCCAGCCCUCCAGCGUCGCGCAGCCACAGGAGCGGUCGGGGUCAGCAGGUGCCCCCCUGUUCUGGGGCUGGGCAGGCAGCAGUGGGUAGAGGGUAGGGUGGCUUCUCCUCCCUCCCGGAGCCCCGGGCGCCCCUGCUGCUUCCCUUCCGCUUUAAUGGCUGGACUGGGGUCUCGGUCCCACCUCCCUGGCCCUCCCCUUGGGCCUCUGUCGGGACCAGAGCCCCAGUGGGCUGCAGGAGGGUGGCUCGCCCCUGCGGAUCAAGUGUGGACUUGAGUUCCUGGCAGUGGGGAGCCCUCACCUGCUCAGCUUUGUACCUCUUUUCCCUUUU
This is an RNA transcript of Leopardus geoffroyi (Geoffroy's cat), 3725 nucleotides long. It is a transcript of the gene named DNA fragmentation factor subunit beta, with no coding region annotated. The record is from RefSeq and is a predicted model, not a curated record. The transcript is spliced from 8 exons. Lineage: Eukaryota; Metazoa; Chordata; Mammalia; Carnivora; Felidae.